This 303-nucleotide ribosomal RNA is filed under the name uncultured bacterium. RNAcentral's name for it is "bacterial SSU rRNA". It matches the Rfam family "Bacterial small subunit ribosomal RNA", at positions 355 to 673 of the family's 1533-position model. The record is from RNAcentral.
UGGGGAAUAUUGGGCAAUGGGCGCAAGCCUGACCCAGCAACGCCGCGUGAAGGAAGAAGGCUUUCGGGUUGUAAACUUCUUUUCUCAGGGACGAACAGAUGACGGUACCUGAGGAAUAAGCCACGGCUAACUACGUGCCAGCAGCCGCGGUAAUACGUAGGUGGCAAGCGUUAUCCGGAUUUACUGGGUGUAAAGGGCGUGUAGGCGGGGACGCAAGUCAGAUGUGAAAACCACGGGCUCAACCUGUGGCCUGCAUUUGAAACUGUGUUUCUUGAGUACUGGAGAGGCAGACGGAAUUCCUAG